Molecule: ribosomal RNA, 507 nt
Filed under: uncultured bacterium
Lineage: Bacteria
Description: partial 16S ribosomal RNA
Rfam family: Bacterial small subunit ribosomal RNA
Source: RNAcentral
GACGAACGCUGGCGGCGUGCCUAAUACAUGCAAGUCGAACGCAUUUUCUUUCACCGUAGCUUGCUACACCGAAAGAAAAUGAGUGGCGAACGGGUGAGUAGCACGUGGGUAACCUGCCCAUCAGCGGGGGAUAACACUUGGAAACAGGUGCUAAUACCGCAUAAUUCCAUUUACCGCAUGGUAGAUGGAUGAAAGGCGCUUUUGCGUCACUGAUGGAUGGACCCGCGGUGCAUUAGCUAGUUGGUGGGGUAACGGCCUACCAAGGCUGCGAUGCAUAGCCGACCUGAGAGGGUGAUCGGCCACACUGGGACUGAGACACGGCCCAGACUCCUACGGGAGGCAGCAGUAGGGAAUCUUCGGCAAUGGACGCAAGUCUGACCGAGCAACGCCGCGUGAGUGAAGAAGGUUUUCGGAUCGUAAAACUCUGUUGUUAGAGAAGAACAAGGAUGAGAGUGGAAAGUUCAUCCCUUGACGGUAUCUAACCAGAAAGCCACGGCUAACUACGUG